This 554-nucleotide ribosomal RNA is filed under the name uncultured Glomus. RNAcentral describes it as "partial 18S ribosomal RNA". The record is from RNAcentral. Lineage: Eukaryota; Fungi; Glomeromycota; Glomeromycetes; Glomerales; Glomeraceae.
UUUCCCGUAAGGCGCCGAAUGAGUCAUUAAAAAAUUAAACAUCAUCCGAUCCCUAGUCGGGCAUAGUUUAUGGUUAAGACUACGACGGUAUCUGAUCGUCUUCGAUCCCCUAACUUUCGUUCUUGAUUAAUGAAAACAUCCUUGGCAAAUGCUUUCGCAGUAGUUAGUCUUCAAUAAAUCCAAGAAUUUCACCUCUGACAAUUGAAUACUAAUGCCCCCAACUAUCCCUAUUAAUCAUUACGUCAAUCCUAGAAACCAACAAAAUAGGAUCAAACGUCCUAUUUCAUUAUUCCAUGCUAAUGUAUUCAAGCGUUAGCUUGCUUUAAACACUCUAAUUUUUUCAAAGUAACAGUCCUGUUUCCCUGCAACACCAAAUUAAUGACAUUACAGUUCUUCAGAAAGGAGGAAUCAGCGAAACCAGUGCGUACCAGAGGCACGACCAACCUGCUGACCCCGAAAUUCAACUACGAGCUUUUCAACUGCAACAACCUUUAAUAUACGCUAUUGGGAGCUGGAAUUACCGCGGCUGCUGGCACCAGACUUGCCCCUCCCAA